AUUGAACGCUGGCGGCAGGCCUAACACAUGCAAGUCGAGCGGAUGAAGGGAGCUUGCUCCUGGAUUCAGCGGCGGACGGGUGAGUAAUGCCUAGGAAUCUGCCUGGUAGUGGGGGAUAACGUCCGGAAACGGGCGCUAAUACCGCAUACGUCCUGAGGGAGAAAGUGGGGGAUCUUCGGACCUCACGCUAUCAGAUGAGCCUAGGUCGGAUUAGCUAGUUGGUGGGGUAAAGGCCUACCAAGGCGGCGAUCCGUAACUGGUCUGAGAGGAUGAUCAGUCACACUGGAACUGAGACACGGUCCAGUCUCCUACGGGAGGCAGCAGUGGGGAAUAUUGGACAAUGGGCGAAAGCCUGAUCCAGCCAUGCCGCGUGUGUGAAGAAGGUCUUCGGAUUGUAAAGCACUUUAAGUUGGGAGGAAGGGCAGUAAGUUAAUACCUUGCUGUUUUGACGUUACCAACAGAAUAAGCACCGGCUAACUUCGUG
RNAcentral lists this ribosomal RNA (484 nucleotides) under uncultured bacterium. RNAcentral describes it as "partial 16S ribosomal RNA". It matches the Rfam family "Bacterial small subunit ribosomal RNA", at positions 30 to 507 of the family's 1533-position model. The record is from RNAcentral.